UUAAGUUCAGCGGGUAUCCCUGCCUGAUCCGAGGUCAACCUUGCGAGUAGGUCUUCUGGCAGACGGGGCCCCGACUUUCAAAGCGAAAGAUUCUGCUACGCUUAAAGCCGGUGCCACGCCGCCGAGCGUUUCGAGGCGCGUCCCUAAGGGACGUCGCCCAACACCAAGCCAGGCUUGAGUGGUGAAAUGACGCUCGAACA
Molecule: unclassified non-coding RNA, 200 nt
Filed under: Cenococcum sp.
Lineage: Eukaryota; Fungi; Ascomycota; Dothideomycetes; Gloniales; Gloniaceae
Description: partial internal transcribed spacer 2
Source: RNAcentral